RNAcentral lists this ribosomal RNA (468 nucleotides) under uncultured bacterium. RNAcentral's name for it is "partial 16S ribosomal RNA". It matches the Rfam family "Bacterial small subunit ribosomal RNA", at positions 28 to 507 of the family's 1533-position model. The record is from RNAcentral.
GACGAACGCUGGCGGCGUGCUUAACACAUGCAAGUCGAACGGAAAGGCCCUGCUUUUGUGGGGUGCUCGAGUGGCGAACGGGUGUGUAACACGUGAGUAACCUGCCCUUGACUUUGGGAUAACUUCAGGAAACUGGGGCUAAUACCGGAUAGGAGCUCCUGCUGCAUGGUGGGGGUUGGAAAGUUUCGGCGGUUGGGGAUGGACUCGCGGCUUAUCAGCUUGUUGGUGGGGUAGUGGCUUACCAAGGCUUUGACGGGUAGCCGGCCUGGGAGGGUGACCGGCCACAUUGGGACUGAGAUACGGCCCAGACUCCUACGGGAGGCAGCAGUGGGGAAUAUGACACAAUGGGCGGAAGCCUGAUGCAGCAACGCCGCGUGCGGGAUGACGGCCUUCGGGUUGUAAACCGCUUUCGCCUGUGACGAAGCGUGAGUGACGGUAAUGGGUAAAGAAGCACCGGCUAACUACGUG